GUGGCUCAGUGGUAGAGUGCUUACCUCGCACGUAUGAGGCCCUGGGUUCGAUUCCUCAGC
This 60-nucleotide transfer RNA is filed under the name Dipodomys ordii (Ord's kangaroo rat). It matches the Rfam family "tRNA", at positions 7 to 64 of the family's 71-position model. From Rfam's summary of the family: Transfer RNA (tRNA) molecules are approximately 80 nucleotides in length. The record is from Rfam by way of RNAcentral. Lineage: Eukaryota; Metazoa; Chordata; Mammalia; Rodentia; Heteromyidae.